RNAcentral lists this small RNA (149 nucleotides) under Geodermatophilus nigrescens. RNAcentral describes it as "c-di-AMP sequence". It matches the Rfam family "c-di-AMP riboswitch aptamer (ydaO/yuaA leader)". From Rfam's summary of the family: This family represents a conserved RNA structure found upstream of the ydaO and yuaA genes in Bacillus subtilis and related genes in other bacteria. The ydaO/yuaA element is thought to act as a genetic "off" switch for the ydaO and yuaA genes in its native state. The record is from RNAcentral. Lineage: Bacteria; Bacillati; Actinomycetota; Actinomycetes; Geodermatophilales; Geodermatophilaceae.
CCGAGGACGCCGUCGAGCCGGUCCUCCCUCCGGGAGGCCGGGCCGGGGACCCACCGCAGUCCUGGGGUGCAGCGCGUGUCCGCACGCGCCGGGCGAGUCCACGCCCGAACCCGUCAGCUAACCCGGUAGGCGGCCUGGGAAGAGGAGAA